RNAcentral lists this ribosomal RNA (253 nucleotides) under uncultured bacterium. RNAcentral describes it as "partial 16S ribosomal RNA". It matches the Rfam family "Bacterial small subunit ribosomal RNA", at positions 524 to 776 of the family's 1533-position model. The record is from RNAcentral.
GACGGAGGAUGCAAGCGCUAUCCGGAACGAUUGGGCGUAAAGCGUUCGCAGGUGGCUGUUCAAGGCUGCUGUCAAAGACCGGGGCUUAACCCUAGAAAGGCAGUGGAAACUGGACGGCUGGAGUGCAGUAUGGGUAGAGGGAAUUCCCAGUGUAGCGGUGAAAUGCGUAGAGAUUGGGAAGAACACCGGUGGCGAAAGCGCUCUGCUGGACUGCAACUGACACUGAGGGACGAAAGCUAGGGGAGCGAAAGGG